UGCUAUGAUGAACAUUCGUGCUUUGCACGCUGGAAAUUACCGACUGAACAAUCAUGUCGAAAACAAAUGGCUAUUUCUGAGC
Molecule: small nucleolar RNA, 82 nt
Filed under: Drepanopeziza brunnea f. sp. 'multigermtubi' MB_m1
Lineage: Eukaryota; Fungi; Ascomycota; Leotiomycetes; Helotiales; Drepanopezizaceae
Description: Marssonina brunnea f. sp. 'multigermtubi' MB_m1 A. fumigatus snoRNA Afu_300
Rfam family: A. fumigatus snoRNA Afu_300
Source: Rfam by way of RNAcentral